AUUGAUCCCGUCGGACCCCACUGCUAUCGAGAUGGGACUAAAGUAUGCUAGUCGAACGACCAGAACUAUGUCUGGAAGUGGCACACUGCUCAGUAACACGUAGCUAACCUACCCUUAGGACGUGGAUACCCCCGAGAAAUUGGGGUUAAUCCGCGAUAGAUGUAAUGUCCUGGAAUGGUAUUACGUCUAAAGGUAUUUCAUACAUGUUUGAAAUAUGCCUAAGGAUGGGGCUGCGGCCGAUCAGGCUGUUGGUGAGGUAAUGGCUCACCAAACCUUUGACCGGUACGGGCCAUGAGAGUGGUAGCCCGGAGAUGGACACUGAGACAAGGGUCCAGGCCCUAAGGGGCGCAGCAACCGCGAAACCUCCACAAUGCACUCACGUGCGAUGGGGCUAUCUCGAGUGCCACCUGAUGAAGGUGGCUUUUCCUUGGUCUAAAAAGCCUUGGGAAUAAGAGGGGGCAAGACUGGUGUCAGCCGCCGCGGUAACACCAGCCCCUCGAGUGGUGGGGAUGAUUAUUUGGCCUAAAGCGUCCGUAGCCGGCCGAGCAAGUCUUCCGUUAAAUCCAGCGUCUCAAGCGUUGGACCGCGGGAGAUACUACACGGCUAGAGAGUGGGAGAGGUCAGCGGUAUUCUGGGGGUAGGGGCGAAAUCCUUUGAUCCCCGGAGGACCACCAGUGGCGAAGGCUGCUGACUAGAACACGUCUGACGGUCAGGGACGAAAGCUGGGGUAGCGAACCGGAUUAGAUACCCGGGUAGUCCCAGCCGUAAACGAUGCAUGCUAGGUGUUGGGUUGGCCACGAGCCACCCCAGUGCCGCAGGGAAGCCGUUAAGCAUGCCGCCUGGGAAGUACGAUCGCAAGAUUGAAACUUAAAGGAAUUGGCGGGGGAGCACCACCAGGCGUGAAGCCUGCGGUUUAAUUGGAGUCAACGCCGGGAACCUUACCGGGAGCGACAGCAGAAUGAAGGCCGGAUUGAAGAUCUUGCCAGACGAGCUGAGAGGAGGUGCAUGGCCGUCGCCAGUUCGUGCCGUGAGGUGUUCUCUUAAGUGGGAUAACGAACGAGACCCGUGCCACAUGUUGCCACCAGUAUCUAAAGGAUAGCUGAGCUCUCUUGUGGGACCGCAGCCGAUAAGGCUGAGGAAGGUACGGGCAACGGCAGGUCAGUAUGCCCCGAAUCUCCCGGGCCACACGCGGGCUGCAAUGGUACAGACAGAGGGCUGCCACCCCGAAAGGGGGAGCCAAUCCCUAAACUGUACCUCAGUUGGGAUCGAGGGUUGCAACCCACCCUCGUGAACAUGGAAUGCCUAGUAACCGCCAGUCAUCAUCUGGCGGUGAAUACGUCCCUGCUCCUCGCACACACUGCCCGUCGAACCACCCGAAUGAGGUUUGGGUGAGGAAUGGUCGAAUGUUGGCCGUUUCGAACCUGGGCCUCGUAAGGAGGGUUAAGUCGUAACAAGGUG
RNAcentral lists this ribosomal RNA (1458 nucleotides) under metagenome. Its description in RNAcentral is "bacterial SSU rRNA". It matches the Rfam family "Archaeal small subunit ribosomal RNA". The record is from RNAcentral.